This is a long non-coding RNA of Neoarius graeffei (lesser salmon catfish), 1929 nucleotides long. RefSeq lists it as uncharacterized. Lineage: Eukaryota; Metazoa; Chordata; Actinopteri; Siluriformes; Ariidae. The transcript is spliced from 5 exons. The record is from RefSeq and is a predicted model, not a curated record.
UGUUCUCGUUUCUUGAAGGCCGAUCUUGUGGCCAAUUGUUUUGAAACAAUCUGACUUUCAGUUGUUUGUUCAGUUCUCCGUUCAUUCGCUUCUUCCACAUAAGGGCAAGAUAUUGCUGCUGAGGCGAGCAUAUCCAGUGGAGAAAUUAGAUGACUGGUCCACUCAUUCUCCAUUUUCUCCAUACUGAGUACUCUGCCAUUACUGCUCAGCUCAGGCAAUUACUAAAACCUGGGACGAGACAUCAUCGGUUUUAGCAACAACUGCGGGGAGGUCACUGCCCGAGCAAUAAUAUGUCCCGUCCUGUGUUUUAGCAACAACCCUCGGCUCACGCUCUGGGAGAACUGGUCCAACUGAACUUGCUUUCCUUUUCUUGUAUUUUUUUUCUUUAAUUGUUGGUACUGCACCCUCUUUCAAUACGGGCUUCUAGUCAACGUUCCUCAACAGAUCAGAGAUCUCGUACGAGUCUUCAGUAAAAUGUGCAGAGGAGAGACCACUUCGUAGGUGCCCAACGUGCCCGUGAACUUCUCGCAAAACGCAUCCAAAUCUUUGCAGUUUGAACAUUCUUGGGCCAUGAAUGCAAUGUAAAUCCACCUUCUGUCAUGUUGCUGCACCCUCCAGCAACACAUCUAUGUGGCAUGGCGAUUAAAUUAUCUCAAAAUGGAGGAUCGGAGUUGCAGUCAGCUGUGUUUUAGUAUAGCGGAAAUGGCAAUGAGACCAAUAGACUUCCUGUGGUGACGUCACGGACGCCAAGGUCAUUCACUCAGACCGCUACCUAUAUGAAUCACUUUAAUCGUAAAAAUGAUGACUAGAUUUAUUGUUAACGCUUAAAACUCUUCCUGUGCCAUUCUUGAGGUCUCAAGGCGUUUAUAAACCAAAAGUGAGGCCAUGGCUCUGCGUAUCUGCUUUUAAAUCUUUUAAGCAAUUGAAAGCAAAAUGGAAGUUGUGGAAAUUUGGAAGUGUGUAUGCAUGCAUAUGUGGAUUUCCAUGAUUCUCUGUCAUGACAGGCUUAAGUUAUGCAAGAAGACAAUUUGCUCCUCUGCUUCCUGCCAUUGAAGCUGUGUCAGAAAGCGAGGCCUCAAAAUGUGCUCCUGCACCCACUGCAAACCAGCGCCAAUCACGAGUUCCAGAAGUAAAUAAAACGGCAAGCAAAAGGCUGCCCGUGUCAACGAAAAACCCAGAAACCCAGAACAAGAAAGGAAAGUACGGCAAUGUGAAACGCCCCAAACAAACAGCUUUACCAGAUGAUUGAAGAGUAUCGGGAAACUGUGACAAGUCCCGCCGUCUUCGAGUGGCCCUGUUGAGCUUGACAGGAUCUGUGUGCGCGUUCGCAAGCGGCUGCUAAAUAAAGAAAGGAAUAAGGAAGAGAUUGAUGUGGUGACGAUCCAUGGAAACGGAGACCUCGUGUUGCAUAAGCUCAAGCAGAGAGUCGAUCUCACAGAGUACCUUGAAAGCCAGCCCUUCCACUUUGAUUACGUAUUUGACGAAGAAGCCGGUGUAACCCAUAGGAAAUGGUUACCAUUUAGCUAUUAUUAACAGUAAAAUGUUAUAGCACAGUUUGACCUCAGGGUGGUGCACGGGCACCAUAUUCAGCGGUUGUUAUGCCAACCACAUUAGUUCCUCGUUCCACCUUGACACCAAGAGUACACCGAGCCUAACGUCCGAAAGGAAAAGGUAAAAAUUACGUUGCGAUUGCCAAAUUCGCUGUUAAAUGUAAUCAGAUUCAAUGCUAAUUAGUUAUUUUAUAUCAAAGAUCUAUCCAAGAAGUGAAAGCCAACAUGAACAGCGUUCCAGUCUGUUGUAUUUUUCACCACGAAACUCCGGUAAGCAGAGCUACUUGUUAACUUGACCGUUAUUGUAAAAUCAAAUGCUGUGAUGUAGACCAUGAUAAUUACACUUUAUAAAAACCAAUCGGAGUCUGAUAAGCAAUAU